UCUUUCUUCUGAUCAGGGAUCCAAUUAUAGAGGAUUGCAAAGAUAAGAUGCCCACCAUAUCAGCCAUCCUGCAACACAUCAGGUGCAGAAAGAGAGGGAGUGAGGAUGGCAGCGUCUGUAUCUCCGCAGAAGACAAACAGGGCGUCUCCGACCACUGAAAUGGGCGAAUUGCAUCAGAAACUGUGGUGACCGAGUCUGGACAGUGACUCUGACACUUCUGCAGUUUUUCUGUGUGACAAGCUCUCCUCAAGACUCGAGACUGGAGGUCAGAGAGCUCUCUCCCCCAGGGUCAGCUGCACCGAUCACAUGGAGGCCAGGCCUCUCUCCCCCUCUUGCUGGCUGUACUGUUUCUGCCAACAGGUGCGAGCGAUGAUGACCACUCAGUGCACACGCAUCAGGGCAGUAUGGCUCCGUGUGGAGAACACAGCAAUCAGGUCCCGGAGGACGGUCCGUGUCGACUCAUGGCCAUGCUACCCCAGCUGGACGACAAGCGCUGCCCAGACAUGAAGUUUCAUACUGGCUUCAUGAGAACGAGGAACUCAAACAGCAGAUUCUGGCCCUGCUGGAGACAGUGUCUGAACUUCAGGAGGAGCUUUGCAACCAUCGGCAUUGAGUCAACGUCUUAGAACUACAGAGGUGCAGCUUGUCAUCGACUGUGUCUCUAUCUACUAUAACGGAGUGCAUCACUCUGGGAUCUACACCGUGGUGCCCUCACUAGGGGCCAUGCCAGUGGAAGUCUACUGUAAUUUGGACACUGACGGUAAGAAACCACUCCACACAUGCAGUAAUGACUGUCCAGGACUCAACUAUAAGGAUGGGCCUGGAGUUUUGGGUCAGUUGACCAUCUUUAACAAAAGAUAUAUUUAUAAGGGAUGUCCCCGACUAAGGAUUUUCACAGUCGAAUCAGAAUUAUCGAAACCUUGCCGAUAUUCGACUGAUAGUCGAAUCCUAUGUUUGGGGACGGGGCAAAAUACAUAGAGUCAAGAUAGACAUUCGACCGCCUUAAUUACUGACGUUAACAAGUAAGGGAAUGUGUGUAAUGAACGCCUCGCAGAUACAAAAGGGGUAAAUAAUGUUUUAUG
Molecule: long non-coding RNA, 1082 nt
Organism: Carassius auratus (goldfish)
Lineage: Eukaryota; Metazoa; Chordata; Actinopteri; Cypriniformes; Cyprinidae
Exons: 3
Source: RefSeq, a predicted model, not a curated record